This 343-nucleotide unclassified non-coding RNA is filed under the name rhizosphere metagenome. Its description in RNAcentral is "partial ribosomal RNA internal transcribed spacer region". The record is from RNAcentral.
GUAGGUGAACCUGCGGAAGGAUCAUUAACACGUAUCCAACGUUAAACAACCCUUUGAACCUUGAACGUGCUCUCGUACACGCUCUAGCAGCAAUCCCUGGUAAAUCAUUGUUACCAGCUAUUGAGUCUGGGACUUCUGCUAGAAAACCAUACGAUACGAGCGUCCUAGCAAUCUGUCAGUGGUUGCGCAAGGAUGGCGCAGUAAACGAUCGCUGUAGGCCCACACGGCCGGCGACCGGGCCUCUGUGCUUCGGCACCUAAUGACACCAGUUUUCUGACCCGGUGCGCUGUAACAACCGCACCACAAACUCGAACAACUGUUAACAAUGGAUAUCUUGGUUCUG